Molecule: long non-coding RNA, 424 nt
Filed under: Trifolium pratense (red clover)
Lineage: Eukaryota; Viridiplantae; Streptophyta; Magnoliopsida; Fabales; Fabaceae
Description: long non-coding RNA (TPRA_LNC008709)
Source: RNAcentral
UAAGCAUCACAAAAAUCAUUUACAAUAUAUUUAUGAUUUUAAUUUUAAUUCAAAUGGUCUAAAAUAAAAAACCUAAAAUCAUAUUUUUCAAAAACUUGAAAACAACUCAGAAGUUACCCAAACAUUAACAAAGUUGUUGCAUUUGAUUUGUUGAUGCAGUGAUAUGUUCGUUCUUAUUUUGCAACUUUAAAUCCAGAUCUGUUAUGUUAUAAUAAACUCAAAUCUAUUUUGUGUAACUUUCUUUUACGUUUUUUUUACAACUAGUUGGAUUAUUAGAUCUACACCAUGAACUUUUCCUUUAAUAAAUCAGAUCCAAUCAAUUAGGAUGAGGAUGAAGAAAUAUUCUUUUGAUUUAUUUGUAAACCCAUAUCAAUGAUUAUGAUGGUAGAAGACAAGUUUUUUUUUUUUUUUUUUUUUUUUUUUU